RNAcentral lists this ribosomal RNA (982 nucleotides) under Eutypella sp. KUC21218. RNAcentral describes it as "eukaryotic LSU rRNA". It matches the Rfam family "Eukaryotic large subunit ribosomal RNA", at positions 74 to 1080 of the family's 3401-position model. Lineage: Eukaryota; Fungi; Ascomycota; Sordariomycetes; Xylariales; Diatrypaceae. The record is from RNAcentral.
AUUGCCCUAGUAACGGCGAGUGAAGCGGCAACAGCUCAAAUUUGAAAUCUGGCCCUAGUGGUCCGAAUUGUAAUUUGUAGAGGAUGCUUUGGGCGCGGUGCCUUCCGAGUUCCUUGGAACAGGACGCCUUAGAGGGUGAGAGCCCCGUACGGUUGGACACCAAGCCUAUGUAAAGCUCCUUCGACGAGUCGAGUAGUUUGGGAAUGCUGCUCUAAAUGGGAGGUAAAUUUCUUCUAAAGCUAAAUACCGGCCAGAGACCGAUAGCGCACAAGUAGAGUGAUCGAAAGAUGAAAAGUACUUUGAAAAGAGGGUUAAAUAGCACGUGAAAUUGUUGAAAGGGAAGCAUUUAUGACCAGACCUUUGCUAGGUGGAUCAUCCGGUGUUCUUCACCGGUGCACUUCGCCUAGCUUAGGCCAGCAUCGAUUUCUGUAGGGGGAUAAAGGUCUAGGGAACGUAGCUCUCUUCGGAGAGUGUUAUAGCCCUGGGCGUAAUACCCUUACGGGGAUCGAGGUUCGCGCUUCGGCAAGGAUGCUGGCAUAAUGGUCAUCAAUGACCCGUCUUGAAACACGGACCAAGGAGUCGAACAUUUAUGCGAGUGUUUGGGUGUCAAACCCUCACGCGUAAUGAAAGUGAACGGAGGUGAGAGCCCUUACGGGUGCAUCAUCGACCGAUCCUGAUGUCUUCGGAUGGAUUUGAGUAAGAGCAUAACUGUUCGGACCCGAAAGAUGGUGAACUAUGCGUGGAUAGGGUGAAGCCAGAGGAAACUCUGGUGGAGGCUCGCAGCGGUUCUGACGUGCAAAUCGAUCGUCAAAUCUGCGCAUGGGGGCGAAAGACUUAUCGAACCAUCUAGUAGCUGGUUACCGCCGAAGUUUCCCUCAGGAUAGCAGUGUUGUAUUCAGUUUUAUGAGGUAAAGCGAAUGAUUAGGGACUCGGGGGCGAUUUUUAGCCUUCAUCCAUUCUCAAACUUUAAAUAUGUAAGAAG